GAUGAACGCUGGCGGCGUGCUUAACACAUGCAAGUCGAACGGAAAGGCCCAAGCUUGCUUGGGUACUCGAGUGGCGAACGGGUGAGUAACACGUGGGUGAUCUGCCCUGCACUUCGGGAUAAGCCUGGGAAACUGGGUCUAAUACCGGAUAGGACCACAUUUUGGAUGGUGUGGUGGAAAGUUUUUCGGUGUGGGAUGAGCUCGCGGCCUAUCAGCUUGUUGGUGGGGUAAUGGCCUACCAAGGCGUCGACGGGUAGCCGGCCUGAGAGGGUGUACGGCCACAUUGGGACUGAGAUACGCCCCAGACUCCUACGGGAGGCAGCAGUGGGGAAUAUUGCACAAUGGUCGCAAGCCUGAUGCAGCGACGCCGCGUGGGGGAUGACGGCCUUCGGGUUGUAAACUCCUUUCGCUAGGGACGAAGCGCAAGUGACGGUACCUGGAGAAGAAGCACCGGCUAACUACGUG
This 465-nucleotide ribosomal RNA is filed under the name uncultured bacterium. RNAcentral's name for it is "partial 16S ribosomal RNA". It matches the Rfam family "Bacterial small subunit ribosomal RNA", at positions 28 to 507 of the family's 1533-position model. The record is from RNAcentral.